GAUGAACGCUGACAGAAUGCUUAACACAUGCAAGUCUUUGGCGAAUCUGUGCUUGCACAGGCUAGCCAAGGCGGACGGGUGAGUAACGCGUAAAGAACUUGCCCUGCAGACAGGGAUAACAGACGGAAACGACUGAUAACACCUGAUACAGUUGCCGGCACGCAUGUGCCUGGCAAUGAAAAGAGAUGCUGCAGGAGAGCUUUGCGUCCUAUUAGCUUGUUGGUGAGGUGACGGCUCACCAAGGCGAUGAUAGGUAGCCGGCCUGAGAGGGUGAACGGCCACAAGGGGACUGAGAUACGGCCCUUACUCCUACGGGAGGCAGCAGUGGGGAAUAUUGGACAAUGGGGGCAACCCUGAUCCAACAAUUCUGUGUGCACGAAGAAGGUUUUCGGAUUGUAAAGUGCUUUCAGCAGGGAAGAAGAAAGUGACGGUACCUGCAGAAGAAGCGACGGCUAAAUACGUG
RNAcentral lists this ribosomal RNA (463 nucleotides) under uncultured bacterium. RNAcentral's name for it is "partial 16S ribosomal RNA". It matches the Rfam family "Bacterial small subunit ribosomal RNA", at positions 28 to 507 of the family's 1533-position model. The record is from RNAcentral.